GCUAGCACCACGGUGCAUUAUGGGGGCCGCAGUCCCCUCCGUGCAGGGUGGGGGGUCAAGCUCGCCGACUGUCCCCCGCGAGCCCGUGGACUACAACUCCCAGCAGGCCAAGCGGAGGGACGAACGGCUCUUUUCCUUCCCCGCCUGCCCUGGCCAUCCUGCCGCUUGGCCCCAUGGGAGCUGUGUUUCGGGGCGCCCGCUGCUUCCCGCGCCUUGCUAGAGCUUCUGCGGGCGGAGUGGACUCGCUGUCCCAGCCUGCCCUGCGCGGACGGUGGCUGCCAAGGGCGCUGGAGGCUCAGGGGCCGCCCCGGAAGGAACGCGGCCGCGGCGCGGAGCGGUUGGGCUCGCGCUCUGCGGAGGGUUCAGGAGCUGAGAUCCUUGGUGGCUUUAAAUGAUCCCCAGGAAGGAAAACUGAUUCAGUCUCAAGAGACAGCUUUAAACUCAUUGGACAUUUGGAAGGCCUUAUUUGCUGCUGCUGAACCUAAUCCAGAGACUGC
RNAcentral lists this long non-coding RNA (497 nucleotides) under Crocodylus porosus (Australian saltwater crocodile). RNAcentral's name for it is "lncRNA (ENSCPRG00005017023.1)". Lineage: Eukaryota; Metazoa; Chordata; Crocodylia; Crocodylidae. The record is from RNAcentral.